This 467-nucleotide ribosomal RNA is filed under the name uncultured bacterium. Its description in RNAcentral is "partial 16S ribosomal RNA". It matches the Rfam family "Bacterial small subunit ribosomal RNA", at positions 28 to 506 of the family's 1533-position model. The record is from RNAcentral.
GACGAACGCUGGCGGCGUGCUUAACACAUGCAAGUCGAACGGAAAGGCCCUGCUUUUGUGGGGUGCUCGAGUGGCGAACGGGUGAGUAACACGUGAGUAACCUGCCCUUGACUUUGGGAUAACUUCAGGAAACUGGGGCUAAUACCGGAUAGGAGCUCCUGCUGCAUGGUGGGGGUUGGAAAGUUUCGGCGGUUGGGGAUGGACUCGCGGCUUAUCAGCUUGUUGGUGGGGUAGUGGCUUACCAAGGCUUUGACGGGUAGCCGGCCUGAGAGGGUGACCGGCCACAUUGGGAGUGAGAUACGGCCCAGACGCCUACGGGAGGCAGGAGGGGGGAAUAUUGCACAAUGGGCGGAAGCAUGAUGCAGCAACGCCGGGUGCGGGAUGACGGCCUUCGGGUUGUAAACCGCUUUCGCCUGUGACGAAGCGUGAGUGACGGUAAUGGGGAAAGAAGCACCGGCUAACUACGU